Lolium perenne is the source of this 3946-nucleotide non-coding RNA. The record is from RefSeq and is a predicted model, not a curated record. Lineage: Eukaryota; Viridiplantae; Streptophyta; Magnoliopsida; Poales; Poaceae.
AAACAAAUCGCCCGCGUCCCCGUCCCCCACCUUCAUCGUCCGGAAAAAAAACCGCAAACAGGAAAAUACUAAACCGCUUCCCACGACUCCAGGCUGCCUCCCCAAUUCGUCUCGCGACCAACCUCCACGCCGCCUCCGCGCAUAUCCGUGAUGCGGCCCUCUUGUGCGAUUCUUCCCUCCACCCCUCGUCGCUCCCCACAAUCGAAACCAUUCCUCGAUCGAGAGAGCCGUGGCGGCGCGGGAGGUGCUAGACUGCUGGAGCACGGGGAAGGGGAGGGAAGGAGGCAGCAGCAGCAGAUGCCGGUGCCGGGCAGCCAGAACGGGCGGCCGAGGCCGUCCAAGGCCGAGACCAUCCAUGGCCUCGUGCGCGCCGGCGACCUCGCGGGCGUCCAGCGGAAGCUGCGGGAGAACCCCGCCCUCCUCAACGACAAGAGACCACGGCAUAACCCCAAUCCACGGAUGACCUGAAUUGAAUACACAAGAGUCAGACCUAAGAAACGAGAUCGAACACAUCGGAGACCUGAAUUGAAUCCACAUCGGAGACCUGAAUUGAAUCCUCGCAUGAUCUGCUCGUUUUCUGCCAGCAUUAUAAGCCCGUUUUCUGACUCCAUUGGUCGCUAACUUGAUCUCUAAAGCAGGUUGCCAUAACCUCGAGUCUGGGUGAGAUCCGCCGGCCACAGCUGAGGACGCGUGAAGAUAGAGGCGAUGUGCUGCAGAUUGGUGGCCACGUUCUGGAGCCGGAGGGGAACGGACACGCUCAGGCGACCGGGGGAAGAAGGCGGCGUCGGGGAUGGGGCUUGCUGGCCCGGCGGCGCGGGCUGCCACUUGAGAGGAAGUCAGGAAUUCAUGAAGCUCCCCCUCUCCUAUGAUCCGCACCCGGCGCCCUACCCGUCGUUGUACGAGUUCAACCAGAUGCUCUCGGUCCCCUCUGUCCACAGGGCUGGCGCCCCCGGUCCUCUGCUCCGCACCCAGAUCGAACGCCACUCGGCCACACAACAAAUUGCAGGUGUUGUUGAGGUGCUGCAGUUGUGUUGUUAAACGUUUGUGAGUAAAACGCUCAUAAGAAGACGUAUGAAUCGAAAACAGAACAGGAAUUCGUCAUAAAUGUCAUAUGUUUAAGAAUUUUUGCCCGACUAAGAAUCCUUCCUAGAAUGAAAAGAGGACAUUGGUGCACUCAACAACAAACUGAGUAACUAGGAAAAUAAGGAUCUUGAUGUCUCGAUCCCAAGAACAAUGACUGAUAAAGUUCUUGAUAGCAAGAAGAACAUUGUGCAAGGUCCGAUGAUAAGGUACACUGAAAUUAACUUCACCGUACUAACAUGAGGAUUUUGGACAUUAGCAGCCAUCAAUGAAUUUAAUGAUAUUUGCCCAGCUAUGAAAUUUUUGUAGGAAGUAACAUAAAGGGAGGCAUACAGGAAGCAUUUGCUAUGGCGUAGGUAAAGCAUAUAAGGCUCAACACCUGUAUCCCCCGUUUCUCUUUCUUCUUUUCUUGCAGUUGAUUGAUGGUGAUGGCUUUACAGACUCUAUAUAUCUGCUCCAUGAAUAUUUAUUGGCAUUUCCUUAGUUCUUUGAGGAGCCAUAUUGUUAUUAAGGUCUGAAACACCAAUUGUAUAUUUAUGGGCAUUUACAAGGUCUUUAAAUUCUUGACAGUCUACCAAAAUUAUAUCUGCUUAAGGUGCUGACCGAAUAACCUUUCCAUCCUGACAUUAACCAAUAAAUUCUUAAUCCAACAGCUAAAGACUUGUGCGAAAAUCUUUUAUCUACUUCUAUGGAACUGCAAAUUGUUCAUCCGGACUGAACCGAAUCCAGUGGCAAAGAUAUACUGCAGAGCAGGUCUAAUCAACGGAGACUACUUCCAGUUGAUUGAGGAAAAUGAGGUGGUCUUUUUCAUUUGUCUUUGUUAGUAGUGAAUUGAAUAUAAAGCUACACUUAUAUAAACUGAAAUCCAAUUCGUUUGUAUUCUAACUUAUCUCUACUAUAUUAAAAAAAAUGGCUAGAGGUGGUGGGAUGGUUGGUACGUCCGUAGCAAUCCCGCCGUGUUAUCUCCGGCCAUCCAACUGCAGGCCGCGACCUGCAGUGACGUCGAGACCCUCCUCACGGCUGGGUAUUCGUUCCAUCCAACAGCUGUAUAGGUUGCCACAAUUGGUCGUUCGACUACAGCUUCAUCGCACACUACCUCUCCUCCUCGAACCUUAAUUGACUAUGCUUUCUGCUCUUCCUCUUUUACAGGUAGUAUUGAUUCUGGUUCCAGUCAAUUGCUUCAGGAGAACCUUGGAGUCGUGUGCGAUAUAUUGGCUUCGGGAGUUCUUUAACUAUCAAUUUCCGAUGGCUGUCAGCCAGAUGAGUUCCCUUGUACUUCCAGACCUCAUCUCUCUAUUCUUAAGUACCCAUGUCCUAAUGUAUGUGUACGCAGGUUUGCUUAGAUUAUUUAUAUAUACGGAUGGUGCCAUGAUACUGUUAGGUAUGGAUGUUGUUGUAUGCGGCAGGUUACUGAGAGAAGGCCAACUGAGAGUGUGAAAUAGAUGUUUCCAUGUUCAUGUUCUUCCGCAGUUCAUUUUUCUAACUUUUACAUACUUUGCUGAUACAUUCAGUGAGUGAGAUAGACGUGCUAUUUAUGUGUAAGAAUGAUGCCAUGAUUCAUUUUGGUUGCUGUAUGCGACAGGUUACCGAGAGGAAGCCAUUUGUUUGUGCUAAAAUACAUAUUUGGGUUGCAAAUUUGUGUUAAAAAUACAUUAUUUUCCAUGUUUAGGAAAUUUGAGUGAGACUCUUCGGAAAUUUGAGCUUGCAUUUACCGAGGUGCAUCUGAGUAGGAGAAUAUUGCAAUAAAUUCACUUGCAGCUAUGUCAAUGACCUGUACAUAACUUGCCUUUUAUAUCCUAGACGUUAUGGUUAGUAGUAAUGUAGAUUAUUUUCUGCUAUUAAAUAAAUGGGAUUUUCUGGUUUAGAAUUUUCCUUCAGCAUUCAUUAUGGUCACAAUAUAUUCGUUACUUUGGCAACAUUCAAGUUUUCAAGUGCAAUAAUUUUGGCUUAGAAUUUCCCUGACAUUUAUGUGAACUGAAUUUUCCUUAAGCAGUUUGUUAGGCAAUUAGAUGCACUAUCAAUCAAUUGAAAGUGCUCCCUGUACAGAGAGGUCCUUGAAUGAGGAGUAUCAAAGAUCAUUUUGGCGCUUUAAGUGUAAGACUUGCUAUUGGUUAGCGCAAUAGGAAGCUAGCAAAAUGGUGAUAUGUACACUAUCAAUUCUUAAAUUACAAACAGGUGAGUUUGUUUUGGGUCAACAAUUGCAAUAUCAUAUUCACUAAUAUUUUUUUACUAAUAAAGUGUUGUUUACUGGGCGCUAUGCCUGGCUACAGGUUAGGGACAUGUCGUUUUUGAAUCACUCUUAGUUACCACUGGAUUUACCCUUUUUUUUCCUUGGAAGUGUGUUAUUAUAUGAUUUCAUUAUUUCCUUGGCAAAUCGCAGCCUCUUAUUUGUAUCCUUCAGUUCAUCUGUUAGAGAGAAACAUAAUUCAAUGGUCUUGCAUUUUUUGAGAAGAUUAAGUGAUGGAAGAGUCGACUGAUAGAGAGAUAAAGUGAGACGGUACGUACAUUGUGUUAUUAUGCUCAGGAUAAAGUCUUCUCAACAUAUCUUUCUUGUGUUCAAUGUUAUUGCAGAAUGGCCGAUCAAGGAGAGCGACAACAUAUCAGAGAGAUAGAGCUGUAGUUAAAGACGAUCGACACGGAGUGCCUAAUGUUGGUGGAAGACUAUACCUAGAGUUGUAGUCAAAGACGAUGGACACGGAGUGCCUAAUGUUGGUGGAAGACUAUACCUUAUCAUCCCAGGUGUAGCCGUGUGGGCAUAAGAGAAAUGAGUGACCCAAAUGAGAGGAACGAGAGUCGGACAAAGUUUUUUGCCGUAUGUGUUGAGACACACGUUUACAUGAAAUAUUAUAGUUUGAUCAGAAUCCAA